GACGAACGCUGGCGGCGUGCUUAACACAUGCAAGUCGAACGGAAAGGCCCUGCUUUUGUUGGGUGCUCGAGUGGCGAACGGGUGAGUAACACGUGAGUAACCUGCCCUUGACUUUGGGAUAACUUCAGGAAACGGGGGAUAAUACCGGAUAGGAGCUCCUGCUGCAUGGUGGGGGUUGGAAAGUUUCGGCGGUUGGGCAUUGACUCGCGGAUUAUCAGCUUGUUGGUGAGGUAGUGGCUUACCAAGGCUUUGACGGGUAGCCGGCUUGAGAGGGUGACUGGCCACGUUUGAAAUAAGUUAGAACCCAGACUCCAGCGAGAGAGAGCAGUGGGGAACAUUACACAAUAGGCUGAAGCCUGAUGCAGCACCGCAGCGUGCGGGAUGACGGCCUUCGCGUUGUAAACCGCUUUCCCCUGUAACUAAGCAUUAGUAACGGUAAUGGGUAAAGAAGUCCCGGCUAACUACGUG
This 468-nucleotide ribosomal RNA is filed under the name uncultured bacterium. RNAcentral's name for it is "partial 16S ribosomal RNA". It matches the Rfam family "Bacterial small subunit ribosomal RNA", at positions 28 to 507 of the family's 1533-position model. The record is from RNAcentral.